GUGCACGCUGGCGGUAGGCCUAACCCAUGCAAGUCGGACGGCAGCACAGUAAGAGCUUGCUCUUACGGGUGGCGCGUGGCGGACGGGUGAGGAAUACAUCGGAAUCUACUUUUGCGUGGGGGAUAACGUAGGGAAACUUACGCUAAUACCGCAUACGACCUACGGGUGAAAGCAGGGGAUCUUCGGACCUUGCGCGAUUGAAUGAGCCGAUGUCGGAUUAGCUAGUUGGCGGGGUAAAGGCCCACCAAGGCGACGAUCCGUAGCUGGUCUGAGAGGAUGAUCAGCCACACUGGAACUGAGCCACGGUCCAGACUCCUACGGGAGGCAGCAGUGGGGAAUAUUGGACAAUGGGCGCAAGCCUGAUCCAGCCAUACCGCGUGGGUGAAGAAGGCCUUCGGGUUGUAAAGCCCUUUUGUUGGGAAAGAAAAGCAGCAGGUUAAUACCCCGCUGUUCUGACGGUACCCAAAGAAUAAGCACCGGCUAACUUCGUG
RNAcentral lists this ribosomal RNA (491 nucleotides) under uncultured bacterium. RNAcentral's name for it is "partial 16S ribosomal RNA". It matches the Rfam family "Bacterial small subunit ribosomal RNA", at positions 29 to 507 of the family's 1533-position model. The record is from RNAcentral.